This 394-nucleotide ribosomal RNA is filed under the name uncultured bacterium. RNAcentral's name for it is "bacterial SSU rRNA". It matches the Rfam family "Bacterial small subunit ribosomal RNA", at positions 505 to 898 of the family's 1533-position model. The record is from RNAcentral.
GUGUCAGCAGCCGCGGUAAUACGUAGGUGGCAAGCGUUGUCCGGAAUUACUGGGUGUAAAGGGAGCGUAGGCGGGAAGACAAGUUGAAUGUGAAAUCUAUCGGCUCAACCGAUAAACUGCGUUCAAAACUGUUUUUCUUGAGUGAAGUAGAGGCAAGCGGAAUUCCUAGUGUAGCGGUGGAAUGCGUAGAUAUUAGGAGGAACACCAGUGGCGAAGGCGGCUUGCUGGGCUUUUACUGACGCUGAGGCUCGAAAGCGUGGGGAGCAAACAGGAUUAGAUACCCUGGUAGUCCACGCUGUAAACGAUGAUUACUAGGUGUGGGGGGUCUGACCCCUUCCGUGCCGCAGCUAACGCAAUAAGUAAUCCACCUGGGGAGUACGAUCGCAAGAUUGAA